GUGUAAGAGACAGCAGUCGCCGCGGGAAUACGAGGGGGGCAAGCGUUGUUCGGAAUUAUUGGGCGUAAAGGGCGCGUAGGCGGUUUGGCAAGUUUGGUGUGAAAUCUUCAGGCUCAACCUGAAGUCUGCAUGAGAAACUGCCGGGCUUGAGUAUGGGAGAGGUGAGUGGAAUUCCAGGUGUAGCGGUGAAAUGCGUAGAUAUCUGGAGGAACAUCUGUGGCGAAAGCGGCUCACUGGACCAUAACUGACGCUGAUGCACGAAAGCUAGGGGAGCAAACAGGAUUAGAUACCCCUGUAGUCCCUGUCUCUUAUAC
RNAcentral lists this ribosomal RNA (314 nucleotides) under uncultured bacterium. RNAcentral's name for it is "partial 16S ribosomal RNA". It matches the Rfam family "Bacterial small subunit ribosomal RNA", at positions 495 to 807 of the family's 1533-position model. The record is from RNAcentral.